This is a long non-coding RNA of Mus caroli (Ryukyu mouse), 308 nucleotides long. RefSeq lists it as uncharacterized. Lineage: Eukaryota; Metazoa; Chordata; Mammalia; Rodentia; Muridae. The record is from RefSeq and is a predicted model, not a curated record.
GUGGAUAUCAGGGGCAGCUUGAUUAAUGAAAAUCGUGCCCAUUGCUGACUGGUUUUCUCUGGCUUCUGGGUUAAAGGAAGAGGAAGAGGAAAGGUAAGAGGAAGAGGAAGAGGAAGAGGACCUGGAGUAGUUAGCUGAAAGUCAUCUCAGAAGAAGGACUUUGCACAGAUACACGAUGAAGACAGCUGUUUACAAGCCAAGAAAAGGACGUGUAUUGAGAUCCAAUCCAUAAUGGUAUCUUGAUCUUGUACAUAUAAUCUCCAGAAUGGUGAAAAAUAAAUUUCUAGGUAAGCUAUCUUACCUGUAGU